This 377-nucleotide ribosomal RNA is filed under the name uncultured bacterium. RNAcentral describes it as "bacterial SSU rRNA". It matches the Rfam family "Bacterial small subunit ribosomal RNA", at positions 30 to 410 of the family's 1533-position model. The record is from RNAcentral.
AUUGAACGCUGGCGGAAUGCUUUACACAUGCAAGUCGAACGGUAGAGGGGGCAACCCCUUGAGAGUGGCGAACGGGUGAGUAAUAUAUCGGAACGUGCCCAGUCGUGGGGAUAACGUAGCGAAAGUUACGCUAAUACCGCAUACGAUCUAAGGAUGAAAGCGGGGGACUCGCAAGAGCCUCGCGCGAUUGGAGCGGCCGAUAUCAGAUUAGGUAGUUGGUGAGGUAAAGGCUCACCAAGCCGACGAUCUGUAGCUGGUCUGAGAGGACGACCAGCCACACUGGGACUGAGACACGGCCCAGACUCCUACGGGAGGCAGCAGUGGGGAAUUUUGGACAAUGGGCGCAAGCCUGAUCCAGCAAUGCCGCGUGCAGGAUG